Long non-coding RNA from Homo sapiens (human), 1694 nucleotides. Lineage: Eukaryota; Metazoa; Chordata; Mammalia; Primates; Hominidae. The record is from Ensembl.
GAAAGCAGGUGGAGAAGGAGUCCUGCUUGUUCUCAGCCUUCCUUUUUUCCUCCAGUCUGGGAUGUAGAUGAGAUGGUUGAAGCUCCAGCAGUCAUGGUGGAUCAUGAGGACACUCUGAGGAUGGAAACAAUGUGCUUGGAGGUUGAGUAAGAAAGACAGAAGGAGCUUGGAUCCCUGCUGACUGUAGAACUCUCCCUCACAGCCUGAAAGUACCUCCUUCCAGCCUUUUUUCACAUGAGAGAAAUGAACCUCUAACUUGUUUAAUCUGGAUUAUUCUGGGCUUUCUGUUGUGUGCAGUGGAACCCAAUCUUCAUCGAGUUCCCCUUCCCAAGAGUUCUGUCAUUUUUCCUGCAUUCUUUUUAGAUUUCAUAGCAUUUACUCUUUCCGAUAGAUGUGAAAAUUCUUUGAAAAGUUAACAUCUUGAAUAAUGAAAGAUAGCCUGUGCAACCCACGCAGAAGUAGGAGCUUUAAGCAAAGUUUUGUAGAGAGGACUGCAGAAUUUCUCUGUGUGUCUCGCUGGGACCUCAGAAUUUUUACCAGAAAAGGCAGGAGGGGACUGCCUGGUUUAAGCAUCUCUCCCUAACUGUGGUUUGGAAAAGUUUUUUUAAUUUGAGAAUUUAAACAGUCAAUACAAGGAUUAUUCCAACCUGGUUGAUCCAUGCUCUGAAAUGAGAACUCCCAUAGUUUAUCAUCUCUAAGAUACUAAAAUGCACAAUAUUUUAAAUCAAGGAAGGAAAAAUUCUGCCAGCUAUAAUUGUAAGAUGCAUCCUGAUUCCAGAAAUGUUAAAUGUGAAGAGGUUGCUUUUUUAGAUCAAUGAAGUAUGGUACAUAUAGUUAACCAAACAGUUAACUUAAGCAUCAUUAUCCACAAGCAGCCAGAGACAUACUACAUAGAAUUGUGCUGUUAACUUUCUGUUCUGCUCUUGCCAAGAAAUAGGUGAGAACUUUCUGUAUCCCAAGCAGAUUUUGUUCCACAAAAAGGAAACGGAGGUCUGGAGAAAUGAUGCAGGUUGGUGGCAAACCCAAGAUUCACCUGGAAAAAAUUCCAUUCUCCUCAAAAUGUGGCUAUCAAGGCCUAAGAUGAUCUUGGAAGCUGCAGGCUGAAGAUGGCAGGGCCUGAGUCCCUGAGCUACUGUGUGGAGUAGAGCCCCACCUCCUGCUGACCAGGAAUAUAGGCACUGGUGGUUACAUAAGUAAGGAAUCAACUUCUGAUACGUACAGUCGCUGAGAUUUGGGGGUUUAUGUGUUACGGCUGCUGAUGUUACCUUAAUUUCUAUUUUGAACCCUGUAGUGGGCUGAAUUAUGUUCCUGCCAAGAACUAUGUCUAAGUCCUCAUCCCCAGUACGCGAGAAUGUGACUUUAUUUUAAAAUAGCAUUAUUGCAGAUGUAUUGAAAUUAUGGAUCUAGACUUGAAAUCAUCUUGGAUUUAGGGUGGGCCUUGAAUCCAAUGAUGAGUGUUCUUAGACAGAAAAGGAGGAGAUGCGGAGAGAAACAGAGAAGAGAUGAUGUGAAGCCUGAGGCAGAGAUUGGGGCGAUGCAUCUGCAAGUCAAGGUUAGCCCCCAGCAGGCAGGAGUGAGGCAUGGAGCAUAUUUACCCUCAGAACCUCCAAGAGGAACCAAUUUUUCCAACACCUUGAUUUUAGUCUCCUGGUCUCUGGAGCUCUAAGAAAAUAAACUUCCGUUGUUUUAAGCCA